RNAcentral lists this long non-coding RNA (268 nucleotides) under Musa acuminata (dwarf banana). Its description in RNAcentral is "long non-coding RNA (MACU_LNC003687)". Lineage: Eukaryota; Viridiplantae; Streptophyta; Magnoliopsida; Zingiberales; Musaceae. The record is from RNAcentral.
AAAACAGGCACCGCAACACCCGCCCCAUCCCCCAUCCAUGCCUCUUCUUCCUCCUCCACAGGCUUCGGACUCCCGUCUCCUCCUCCAUUAAAACCUCACAGUGAAAACACCAAUUACUACUGCCUUUUCUCUUUUGGAUGGAAGGACGAUCACAGUAUCGCAUCCGAAGGAUGAAUCAGUUCGAUUGCCAUCACCAUUUAAAAGCUCCUCCUGCUCCUGUUGUGCUCCAUGACGCUGCAGUUGGCCUCCACCUUCUCGACGAAGCUGC